ACGGGGGCAAUUGCCCCAGUAACGGCGAGUGAAGCGGCAAAAGCUCAAUUUUGAAAUCCCCCCGGGGAGUUGUAAUUUGAAGACUAGGGGAUUUGGCCCAAACCUGCGCAAGUCCAUUGGAACAUGGCGCCCAAGAGGGUGAGAGCCCCGUCGCGCAGGCCGCAGCCUUGACAUCCCCCCGUCAAAGAGUCGAGUUGUUUGGGAAUGCAGCUCAAAGUGGGUGGUAAAUUCCAUCUAAAGCUAAAUAUUGGCGAGAGACCGAUAGCGAACAAGUACAGUGAUGGAAAGAUGAAAAGCACUUUGAAAAGAGAGUGAAACAGUACGUGAAAUUGUUGAAAGGGAAGGGCUUGCAAGCAGACACGAGUUCGCUCGGGCCAGCAUCAAUUUCGCGAGGUGGACAACACGCCAGGAAUGUGGCAGGCUCCGGCCUGUGUUAUAGCCUGCGCGCCAUACACCUCCGCGAGAUUGAGGCCUGCUCCAAAAGGAUGCUGGCGUAAUGGUUGCAAGUCGCCCGUCUUGAAMMACGGAMACAAAAUAU
Molecule: ribosomal RNA, 538 nt
Filed under: Helenozyma melibiosica
Lineage: Eukaryota; Fungi; Ascomycota; Pichiomycetes; Serinales; Metschnikowiaceae
Description: [Candida] melibiosica partial large subunit ribosomal RNA
Rfam family: Eukaryotic large subunit ribosomal RNA
Source: RNAcentral